This 253-nucleotide ribosomal RNA is filed under the name uncultured bacterium. RNAcentral's name for it is "partial 16S ribosomal RNA". It matches the Rfam family "Bacterial small subunit ribosomal RNA", at positions 524 to 776 of the family's 1533-position model. The record is from RNAcentral.
UACGGAGGGGGCUAGCGUUGUUCGGAAUUACUGGGCGUAAAGCGCACGUAGGCGGCUUUGUAAGUUAGAGGUGAAAGCCCGGGGCUCAACUCCGGAAUUGCCUUUAAGACUGCAUCGCUAGAAUUGUGGAGAGGUAAGUGGAAUUCCGAGUGUAGAGGUGAAAUUCGUAGAUAUUGGGAAGAACACCAGUGGCGAAGGCGGCUCUCUGGCUCGGUACUGACGCUGAGGCGCGAAAGCGUGGGGAGCAAACAGG